RNAcentral lists this unclassified non-coding RNA (348 nucleotides) under soil metagenome. RNAcentral's name for it is "partial contains 5.8S ribosomal RNA, internal transcribed spacer 2, and large subunit ribosomal RNA". The stretch from base 1 to 120 matches the Rfam family "5.8S ribosomal RNA", at positions 35 to 154 of the family's 154-position model. The record is from RNAcentral.
GAUGAAGAACGUAGUGAAAUGCGAUAAGUAAUGUGAAUUGCAGAAUUCAGUGAAUCAUCGAAUCUUUGAACGCACAUUGCGCCCGCCAGUAUUCUGGCGGGCAUGCCUGUCUGAGCGUCAUUUCAACCCUCAUGCCCCUAGGGCGUGGUGUUGGGGAUCGGCCAAAGCCCGCGAGGGACGGCCGGCCCCUAAAUCUAGUGGCGGACCCGUCGUGGCCUCCUCUGCGAAGUAGUGAUAUUCCGCAUCGGNNNNCGAUGAGCCCCUGCCGUUAAACCCCCAACUUUCCAAGGUUGACCUCAGAUCAGGUAGGAAUACCCGCUGAACUUAAGCAUAUCAAUAAGCGGAGGA